AGCAGCAUGGCGCAGUGGUAGCGCGCGGGGCCCAUAUAGAAUAGUAAAUAAGGAAAUAUUCACCCCGAGGUCACUUGAUCGAAACAAGUUGCUGCUA
Molecule: non-coding RNA, 97 nt
Organism: Stygiomarasmius scandens
Lineage: Eukaryota; Fungi; Basidiomycota; Agaricomycetes; Agaricales; Campanellaceae
Source: the annotation of a GenBank genome assembly